This 1456-nucleotide ribosomal RNA is filed under the name uncultured Elusimicrobia bacterium. RNAcentral's name for it is "bacterial SSU rRNA". It matches the Rfam family "Bacterial small subunit ribosomal RNA". The record is from RNAcentral. Lineage: Bacteria; Pseudomonadati; Elusimicrobiota; Elusimicrobia.
GAUGAACGCUGGCGGCGUGCCUAACACAUGCAAGUCGAGCGAGAAGCUGAUUUGAGAUUACUUCGGUAUGAUCUGUUCGGUGGAUAGCGGCGGACGGGUGAGUAACGCGUAGGCAACCUGCCCACAGGAGAGGGAUAGUCGUUGGAAACGACGGGUAAUACCUCAUAAUACGAGAGAGUCGCAUGGCUUUCUUGUCAAAGAUUUAUCGUCUGUGGAUGGGCCUGCGUUGGAUUAGUUAGUUGGUGGGGUAACGGCCUACCAAGACAUCGAUCCAUAGCCGACCUGAGAGGGUGAUCGGCCACAUUGGAACUGAGACACGGUCCAAACUCCUACGGGAGGCAGCAGUGGGGAAUAUUGCACAAUGGGCGAAAGCCUGAUGCAGCAACGCCGCGUGAGCGAAGAAGGUCCUAUGGAUCGUAAAGCUCUGAUCUGAGGGAAGAUAAUGACGGUACCUCAGGAGAAAGCCCCGGCUAACUACGUGCCAGCAGCCGCGGUAAUACGUAGGGGGCAAGCGUUAUCCGGAUUUAUUGGGCGUAAAGGGUGCGUAGGUGGUCCUUUAAGCGAGAGGUUUAAGGCAACGGCUUAACCGUUGUUCGCCUUUCGAACUGGGGGACUUGAGUAUAGGAGAGGAAGAUGGAAUUCCUGGUGUAGCGGUGGAAUGCGUAGAUAUCAGGAAGAACACCAAUGGCGAAGGCAAUCUUCUAGACUAUUACUGACACUGAGAUACGAAAGCUAGGGGAGCAAACAGGAUUAGAUACCCUGGUAGUCCUAGCUGUAAACGAUGUUCACUAGAUGUAGGGGGGUAUCGACCCCUUCUAUGUCGUAGCUAACGCGUUAAGUGAACCGCCUGGGGAGUACGACCGCAAGGUUGAAACUCAAAGGAAUUGACGGGGGCCCGCACAAGCGGUGGAGUAUGUGGUUUAAUUCGACGCAACGCGAAGAACCUUACCUGGGCUUGAACUGUUAAUGGUAAGAAUCAGAAAUGAUAAUGACUCGCAAGAGAGUUAACAGAGGUGCUGCAUGGUUGUCGUCAGCUCGUGUCGUGAGAUGUUGGGUUAAGUCCCGCAACGAGCGUAACCCUUAUCCUAUGUUACCUGUAGCAAUACAGGGUCUCUUAGGAAACUGCCAUUGAUAAAAUGGAGGAAGGUGAGGAUAACGUCAAAUCAUCAUGGCCCUUAUGUCCAGGGCUACACACGUACUACAAUGGUCGGUACAGAGGGUCGCAAUAUCGUAAGAUGGAGCCAAUCCAUAAAAGCCGAUCUCAGUUCGGAUUGUGGGCUGCAAUUCGCCCACAUGAAGUAGGAAUCGCUAGUAAUCGCAGAUCAGCAGGCUGCGGUGAAUACGUUCCCGGGCCUUGUACACACCGCCCGUCACACCACGAAAGUCAGCUGUAACAGAAGUCGUUGAGUUAACCGUAAGGAGACAGACGCCUAAGUUAUGGUUGGUAAUUGGGGUG